Molecule: long non-coding RNA, 1816 nt
Filed under: Olea europaea subsp. europaea
Lineage: Eukaryota; Viridiplantae; Streptophyta; Magnoliopsida; Lamiales; Oleaceae
Source: RNAcentral
AAAAAAAAAAAACUUUCAAUUGGGCUCUUGAUCAUAAUCAGAUAUGACAGAAAUUAUGGUGAUUUUCGACUUCGACAAGACUAUUAUCGAUAUAGAUAGCGAUAAUUGGGUGGUUGAUGAACUGGGUGCUACUGACUUGUUUAAUCAACUUCUUCCAACCAUGCCUUGGAAUUCUAUGAUGGUAAGUUUUCAACUUUUGAUUUACACAUUAUUUCCGACUUUAACUUAGCAACGAGGGAUAUAGUAUUAUGACUUGAGAUUCCAUCUUAGAAGUUCAACUGGUUUAUGUUUUUAUUGGGAUUUUAUUCUUUAAAAAAAGUUAUUACAGGUUUUUAAGGUAGAAGUUGUCAACAUAAUUUAUACAAUGUACAAAUGUAAACAUGUUCAUAUGUUUUGAAUUUUUUUCCUAAUUGAGUUUCUAAUCAAUGGGUUUUUGAAUUUGUUUGUCAUUACAGGACAGGAUGAUGAAAGAGCUUCAUGCAGAAGGGAAAACCAUUGAAGACAUUGAAGAUGUACUAAAAAGGGUCCCAAUACAUCCCAGAGUAGUCCCAGCCAUCAAAACAGCUCAUUCUUUAGGGUAAAUUUUGCAGAGUUUGGGGAUAAAAAAUUCUUACAUUAUGCGGUUUUCGAUACGUUUUUAUUGAUAGAAUUCGAUGGAAAAUUUCUAUUCUAGGUGUGAUUUGAGGGUAGUCAGUGAUGCAAAUCUCUUCUUUAUUGAAACAAUCUUGAAUCAUCUUGGAAUAAGGGAAUGUUUUACUGAAAUCAACACAAAUCCAAGCUACGUAGAUGAAGAAGGAAGGCUAAGAAUUUUCCCAUUUCAUGAUUUUCAUUCAUCUUCUCAUGGCUGCAAUCUCUGCCCUCCAAACAUGUGCAAGGUAUAUAUACUAAUUUCAUCCCAUGUUUUUCUUGUUAUAUAUUAUGGGAUUAUAGUCACUAGUCGAUCCCAAAAGAAAUGGAUCUUUCACCACGAGUUCAAAUAGAGAUAAGAGACAGGAACCAAAAAAAAAAAAAAAAACUGAAAAAAUAAUUGCAAUAACUUUAUUACUAAUCCCAGUUCAAGAACAAUUCCAUGAAGAAUUUAUUCAUUCUAGAAUAUGCUGGAAUGUGGCCUAAUUAAACUCAACAAUUAUCCUUGUUAAUUGAUUAAUAUUAGCUUAAAAAACAAUUUUGGAAAGAUGGUGACACAUUAAGAACAAAUCAAUAUAUUUUAUUUAAUCAUAUAUAUUUUUUAAUUUUUUUGGUUUUGUUUUAAGCAGGGAAAGAUUAUAGAGAGGAUUCAAGCCUCUUUAGCUAUAGAAGGGCAGAAAAGAAUAAUCUAUCUUGGCGAUGGAAGGGGUGACUUUUGUCCGAUGUCGAAGCUUAAGGAAGUAGAUUACGUAAUGCCGAGGAAGAAUUUCCCGGUUUGGGAACUGAUAUCGAAAAAUCCUGAACUUGUAAAAGCAGAAAUCCACGAAUGGACUGAUGGGGUUGAGCUCGAACGUAUUCUGCUAAAUCUUAUCAAGAAAAUUAAGGUUCAAGACUCGAUUCAACAGUUAUCGGUUGAUUGCAAGUUCGAGACUAUUCCUAUGGCUGUUCAUGAGCCAUUGAUGCCUGCCCUUCCAGUUAACCAGUAGCUUGAUAGUUUAAAUUUUCUAAAUUUCUGCUACUGUCACUGGCAAAAUGUUGUAGAUUCUUAUAGUCGACAUAAAACAUUUUUUGGUCUAAUUUUUGUUGGAAAAUGGUUUCAAGUGAGCAUCUUUGAGGUCAAUUUAGAGUGGGGUCCGUAAUUCAAAAUUAAUUAGAUCAAACAUAUUCAUGUUUUAUUUUGCGAAAGGAU